AAAAAGACCAGUUUUGAACUGUUCAUAUCUAACGUUUGACUGCCUGUCUUAUUUGAAAAUUUUUUUAUGAUUAGUAUUUUUAUUUUUAUUAGAUGAUAAAACAUUAAUAGUACUUUAUGUGUGACUAAUUUUUAAAAUUUUUCAAAUAUUGGACACAAAAACCUACAACUGCACUUAAA
Oryza sativa Japonica Group (Japanese rice) is the source of this 179-nucleotide microRNA precursor. It matches the Rfam family "MIR812 microRNA precursor family". The record is from Rfam. Lineage: Eukaryota; Viridiplantae; Streptophyta; Magnoliopsida; Poales; Poaceae.